Molecule: long non-coding RNA, 2039 nt
Filed under: Mytilus galloprovincialis (Mediterranean mussel)
Lineage: Eukaryota; Metazoa; Mollusca; Bivalvia; Mytilida; Mytilidae
Source: RNAcentral
GACAUUUAUAUAAUAUUCUUUAUUUUGCACUUUAUAUUCAUGUUACUGCAAUUCAUGCAUAAAAGCCAUAAUAUAAACAUAGGUAAUUUAUGAUUACAAAGUGUAUCUCAUUCUACACCAUUUGAUUAAAUAAAUCAAUGUUAGAAAAGCAACAUAAUACAGAAGCACCAUGGGUGCAUUUGCAAAAUUGUGAUCUUUAUAGAUUACAGUGGAUAAAAAAAAAAAAUGCCUAAAUUUCUGUUUAUUAAUUGCUGCUGUAACCUUGACCUUUGACCUAUAUACCUGACAAGCAUUUGGGGGUUUUCACCCAAAGGUGCAUUGUACACUGCAGAUAAGGGCUCAACAGGCAUUGUUCUGAACAACACAAAAGUUCAGUCUAUUUGUAGGUUAGUCCAGUGACUUCAACCUUAACCAAGGUUUACUGAUUUACUGACCAAGAAUCAAAUUCAUGUUUUUUCUGCAAAGUUAGGUGAAGGUUGGACAUAAGGUUCAAAGGAAAUUCUACUGAAAACCAAAGUUUUCCCCAAAAUUCUGUUUAAGAAUUCCUGUUGUGACCUUUGACCUCUGACCGAGCAACCUCAAAAUCUAUGCAAGUUUUUUUUCCAUUUGUUUUCAAGGGGCAUUAUCAAAUUAAGUUUGGUAAGAGUUGGACAUGGUUCAAAACAUAACAUACAUUACCCAAAAUUUUGCCAAAGUUUCACUCUAUCAAACGUGAGUGUGACCUUGAAAUUUUAACAUGAUUAUCCAUAGAAAUCAUCUUUGUCUCAUUUGCAUCAUUCAACCAAGAUUGGUGAAAAAUAAAUGAAUUAAUGGUUUCAAAGAUUUUGUCUAUAAAUCAAAAUGUUGGAAGUCCAGAUAAAAUUCACCUAAUAAUACACUAGUUGAUUCUACUACUGCAUGUAGAAUGUAUGUUCUGAAAAAGAAGUUUGACUAAAUCAAAUCAAUGAAGUUUAAAAAAAAAAGUUUCAGUAACUCCCACUUGCCUGAAUGCUGAUCUACAGUAAAGGAAACAUUCAUACACUAAUAUAAUUGGUCCUUCUAUGUAUAGUGAGAGAGGGACAAACAAUCAUAAGAAAUAUGGGUCAUAUGACCUUCUCCUUAAAAUAUAUGAAGAUUAAUUUAAAUGCACCUAAAACCAAAUAUUGUUGGUUGCAAAGCAGUUCUCAAAAUAUGACUUUUGAAGAUGUAGACACACAUAUGUAUGCACAUAAUACUCCAUUGUUUUCCUCAACUAUAUUUGGGCAAACUUAAUAACUGCAGGACAAUCACUUCUUAAUAAAUUUAACCUGAUCAAACGUGUUUGAAAUUGCUAUUCAAAAGAGGUACAUUCUAUCUUAGAAAACCUGAAGUUAUUUACAUUUUUAGAUAAGACAUAGGUCCCAUAACGUUUUUAUUAAUUUUGACUACAACUUAUAUGAAUUGUUUGAUUCUGUAUAGUCCUGAUAGAAGUGCAAUGGCUAUUUACAUAUUCUCAAAUAAAAUAUCCCUCUAAUAUCAUGUGACAAUUAGAUGAAUUAAUGCAGUAAUACAUUUGAAUGACAAAGCAUACAUAACAAGCUGCCUGUGUUACUUAUAAAUAUACAACAUAUCAAUACUUAUUCUUGAGCAGGUUAAAUUAAGGCUGAACUAUCACUUUCACUUUCAGAAAGGUUCAUUAACAUUUUAAACAAAGUCUAUAUAUAUUCUAAAAGAAGACCUCUGGCUAUUUGCCGUCAACAUUGUGUAAUUAUUAUACAACAAUAUAAUAUAUCAACAAAAUUUCAAAAUCUAUUAUAAGAAUUUUAUUCUUAUAUUGACUCAAUAUGAAAAUUUACCAUUUGUUGAUCACAAUCCAGAUGAUCUUAGAAAAAACUUUUUGUGAUUUAAGUCAUAAAACAAAAAUGGAAAAGAAAACUAUGAUCAACCCUCUGAACUAUCUUUUACCUGAAAAAGCAUAAUAAUAGUGCCCUAUAAAACAGUUAUCACAUAAAAAUAAAACAGCAUGCAUUUUAAUCAAUAUGUUUUUUCUUCAAUGAGAAAACCUUAUUUUUGCAGUAUAA